CCGCUGCCUAUGCAAUGCACCC
This 22-nucleotide microRNA is filed under the name Malus domestica (apple). RNAcentral's name for it is "mdm-miR11012a". Lineage: Eukaryota; Viridiplantae; Streptophyta; Magnoliopsida; Rosales; Rosaceae. The record is from miRBase by way of RNAcentral.